RNAcentral lists this ribosomal RNA (424 nucleotides) under uncultured bacterium. RNAcentral's name for it is "bacterial SSU rRNA". It matches the Rfam family "Bacterial small subunit ribosomal RNA", at positions 355 to 776 of the family's 1533-position model. The record is from RNAcentral.
UAGGGAAUAUUGGGCAAUGGACGAAAGUCUGACCCAGCCACGCCGCGUGAAGGAUGACUGCCCUAUGGGUUGUAAACUUCUUUUGUAUGGGAAGAACCCUCCGAACGUGUUCGGAGCUGACGGUACCAUAAGAAUAAGCAUCGGCUAACUCCGUGCCAGCAGCCGCGGUAAUACGGAGGAUGCAAGCGUUGUCCGGAUUCAUUGGGUUUAAAGGGUGCGUAGGCGGAGAUUUAAGUCAGUGGUGAAAGCUUACAGCUUAACUGUAAAAAUGCCAUUGAAACUGAAUUUCUUGAGUUCGAUUGAGGUAGAUGGAAUGUAUCAUGUAGCGGUGAAAUGCUUAGAUAUGAUACAGAACACCAAUUGCGAAGGCAGUCUACUAAGUCGAUACUGACGCUGAGGCACGAAAGCAUGGGGAGCAAACAGG